RNAcentral lists this long non-coding RNA (21221 nucleotides) under Olea europaea (common olive). RNAcentral's name for it is "long non-coding RNA (OEUR_LNC015488)". The record is from RNAcentral. Lineage: Eukaryota; Viridiplantae; Streptophyta; Magnoliopsida; Lamiales; Oleaceae.
UCCGACACGUGUUGUGCGUCGAUGGUAGAUACCAACUAAAUGUCGAACCCACCACCAAGGCAACUUGACUUGCUUGACUGAAAAAUAUUUUUAACAAAAUUUUGACAGAUUUCCCCCCUAAAAUAUGCACUAAAACCACCUGGACAAUAAUCAAGUUUCCUCAAUUCAAUACCUAUAAUAUAAAACAAGGUACCUCAAUACCUCAGAAUACAAACUAUUCAAUUAAAAUGUUGUUGAUUCAAUAUUUAUUUGCGUUACAACCAAUAAUCCUCAAAUAUACCAAAUACGUCAAAGAUGUAAUGAGCCCAUGAUGAAUUUUUCUGAUUCUUGUACCCCAAAAGAACACAUACUAUAUAAUCUGAUAAAGGAUGUCAUACAACCUACGAAGCGUGGCUCAAUUUGGUAGUUUAACAGGCUCCAAAGCUGCUCAAAUCCGCUGCUAGCUGUCUGAUAAAAAAAAAGGUGAAAAAAAUAUAUGAGCUUAAAGCUCAGUGAGUGGAUAAUUUUCAAAUAAGUAAACUUUUCUCAUUUAUAUAUAUUUUCUGAAAAUUCUUGCACUACUAAAACUUCUAGAAAUUCUGAAAUUUAAUAACACUUUUAAAAUCAAACAUGAAUAUAUCAUAAAAUUUUUUAUUCUUCAUUCUAGAUAAGUAACUGUAAAAUGUAACGAAUAUAAAUAAUAUGACAUCCGUGAAAUUCUAUGAAAUAUUGCUGCUGCUCAGUACUAUAAGUUGAAAGCUUUAAUCUGAGAACUGAGUAGACCGAAUUCUAUAAUCUGAAAUCUGAUAAGCUAUAGAAAUACUGAAAAAUCAUACCAAAAAGGUACCCAGAAUAACUAUACUCAUGUAUUAGUUUGCACCGAUAGACAUAACAAAGCUAUUCAAUUAUGUAAUUCUAAAAUUCUGGUCAUACACGCACAAAGCUAUUUGGUCAUACACUACGGAAAUACAUUCACAAUAGUGCAGAGCGGGUAAAAUCACCAUAGCUGGUCAUACACUGUAGAAACACAUUCACACCAGUCCGGAGCGGGUAAGAUAACCAUAUGGAGUCAUAUACUGUGAAAACACAUUCAUACAAGUGCAGAUUAGGGUAAAGUCACCUGGGUACUUUCUGAUGGUUUUAAAGUAAUUUUAAAUAUAUUGAAAUAUUUAAUACUGAAAUGGUAUGUCAAUGAAAUGAUUUAACUAAACCGAAUUUAACUUUAAAAAUGAUUGUUUAUAAAUCAACUUUAUUCUAAAAAUUACGCUAUCAAAUCAACUUUAUGAAAUAAUAGAUUUAUUUAAUCUAACAUAAAUUUAAUAAAUAGUAAUUUCUAAAAAAUAAGUUUUUAUCCAUUCACCAAGUCAUAGUUGAUCAUUGUUUCGAUCUUCUCGUUGCCUCCUCACUUUCAAUACUAAGAAUGUUAUCACGCUCUCGCUACAAUAAAUCAUAUCCCCUCAUAGAGGAGUUUUGAGUAUUUUCCUACCAUUAAAAAUAUUAAUUUACCAAUGGGAACUUAAUAUAUUUUAUUUUCAACUUCAUAAUCCCAAUUAAGGUCACUAACAACAUAUACUCCUUCAUAUAAAUUAUUUUAACACCAAAACCUCAAAUAUUCAACACUUAAUUUGGUUCCAAUACUAAAAAUCCACCAAACUUAGAUGAUUGACAAAACUAGCACAAUCAUUCCAAAAUAUUGAAACUAGCACCAAUGUCUAUAUAUUAAAAAAUCUAUCAUCGAAAACAUGGACAGAAAUAGCGCUUUUCUGGACAGUUCAAAAAUAGCACAUAUACUACAAUAGCUCGAAAAUGGCUGAAAAAUUGGAGAAUUUCAACCUCAAAUCCUUAAUCUAAGUGUUUAGUAACAUAUAAUCACAUGAAUUUAAAAAAAUAUGCCUUUAUCUCACAAACCCAUUUCCAAAGUUUCCACUUUCUUCAACAUCAAUAUCCAAAUAAACAUUUAUUUGCUAUAUCUUUAUUUAUAACAUCAAAUACAUAUCAAUAACACAUAUUUCUAGCUAAAAACUUUGAAUUAAAACAAAUUGUCCAUAUCCCUUAAAAAAUUAAUUCAAUAUACUUUAUACUUACCAUUUAAAUCAAAGAGAAGUUGACAACUUGAAAACCCUAGCUUGAAACCAUCUUCUUCUUCUUCUUCUUCUUCUUCUUCCCUUCUCUUUUCUUCUCACUCGGUUUCUCUCUAGCCUUCUCCCAUUUUCCUCCAAAAAUAUAGAAAAUGGGUAAAUAGAUGAUAUUUAAUGGAUAAUUAUUGAAUAAUUGCAUAUCAAGUCCCUCCUUUUAUGUUUUAAAUAAAGUCUAGUCAUUAACUUUCCAUUCUUGUAAAAUAAAUCCUCAAGUUUAAAUAAUGUUCAUGUUAAACCCUCAAGGAUUGUCAAUUUGUAAAAUAACUCCAAUAAAAUAAUUUACUUCAUUAAGGUCCCCAUUUGACUUUGACUUUGAAAAUUCAACUCUUGCCUUUUUACUAGAUAAAAUGGGUUGUAACAAUAUGUGCUUGAAACUAGUGUGUAUCCGAGAGAGACCGAAUCCAUGAAAGAGCUACGUAAUAAGACUGAAACACACAGUAGCUGGUAAAAUUCAAUCCAUUUUCAAUUUUAUUUUAUUUAUUAUUUUUUUUAUUUUUUUUAUUAUUUUAGUGAAGAUCCAAUCUGGAUUUUAAUAAAUUUUAAAUUAUACAGGAGCUACAAGACUAGUUCUGCUGAUGUAGGUCAGUUCUUGAACAUGAUUCUCAAACUCAUCAAUGCCACGAACACAAUGCAAAUUGGAAUACAGAGCGGUUAUGUUCUCCUUUCAACUGCACUGGCUACUCCUAAUGAUGGAAAGGUAAGAGUUUCAAUAUCUAGAAUGAUUAUUUAAUCUAUCUAGGAUGGUCAAAUGAAUAGUGUCUAGAAAGCUCUUUUCUUGAAUGUCAUCAGAUUUUGUGCAUAGAUUACGGCCGUGGAAAUUAUCAACUCUAUUUUCCAGCAAUCGAAAAGGCUGGCAUGGCUCACAAAAUCGACUACAAUGAAAGUUCGAUAUCUCUUGUUCUUAAAAUGAGCAAAGAUGUAAGUAUAUGCAACUUAUUUCUUACAUUUUAAUUGCUUUUUCUUAAUUUCAAUAUAUUAUAAAUAUACCACAAUUACUUUGUCAAAUGUAAUACAGGAAAAGCAUCACGGGGAAUUUGAUUUCAUUUACGUGGACGCUCACAAGACAACUUGUUCAGAAUAUCACGAGACAUUGAUUGAAUUAGCCAGGAUAGGGGGAGUCAUUGUUUAUGACAAAACUCUCCUCAGUGAGACUCUGGGGACGCUGCGGAUCGGAUCAGACAAUGAUGCUAGUGGAAAUAGGUAUUAUGGGGAUCCAGUGUUACUGUUUAACGAGAAAGUGGCUUCUGAUCUAAGAGUCGAGAUUUGCCAGGUUCCAGUGGGCAUCGGCGUCAGUCUUUGCCGCCGUAUAAGAUGAUCAGUUAAGGAAGAUAUAAAAUGUUCAACUGGCUGCAGCAGCAUUAUUUCUAUCAAAUUCCGCCAUUUAUUUUACUUCACAUUUCGCGCAGCAUAUGCUUCUGCACCUAUAUAAUAUGCACUUGUUAUUCCUUUUCUAUCAGCUGCCUGCAAGUACAACGAUUCAUAUCAGAAUGUUUAUUGCACGGUUCUUGUUAGGGUUUAGGGUUUCAGUGUCUAUUAAUAGUAGUGUGAGUCUAUGUUUCUGAUUAACUAUUGGUUCUGCAAAUUCAACAAGAAUGUUUAUUGCACUGUUCUUGUUACAAUGUCUAUUAUUUUUGCAGUGUUUUUAUAUGUUUAUCAUUAACUAAUGAUCCAGCAACUCUGAAAAGCUCCCAAAUUGUUUUGGUAAAAACCUUUCAAAUUAAAAUACACUAAUAAAUAAAACAUUUUCUUUUCGUUAUGUUUUCUAAGACAACUCCAAUUAUAGCCGUGAUUUAAAUUAUGUUUUAGAAAUGCUUAAACUCACGACAGCAAAAAUUAUAACCUUNNNNNNNNNNNNNNNNNNNNNNNNNNNNNNNNNNNNNNNNNNNNNNNNNNNNNNNNNNNNNNNNNNNNNNNNNNNNNNNNNNNNNNNNNNNNNNNNNNNNNNNNNNNNNNNNNNNNNNNNNNNNNNNNNNNNNNNNNNNNNNNNNNNNNNNNNNNNNNNNNNNNNNNNNNNNNNNNNNNNNNNNNNNNNNNNNNNNNNNNNNNNNNNNNNNNNNNNNNNNNNNNNNNNNNNNNNNNNNNNNNNNNNNNNNNNNNNNNNNNNNNNNNNNNNNNNNNNNNNNNNNNNNNNNNNNNNNNNNNNNNNNNNNNNNNNNNNNNNNNNNNNNNNNNNNNNNNNNNNNNNNNNNNNNNNNNNNNNNNNNNNNNNNNNNNNNNNNNNNNNNNCCAUAGCCCUCCAAGGAAAUGGGACGAACCGUGAGCAACACUAUUAACAAUAGGUUGCUUCUAACGGUCCAUAGGAAUGUGGAUUGGGUUGUCUCGAUAAUUAUGUCGAUAUACAAAUCAAUCAUAUGGCCAAGGCUGAUUGAUAAUAGAACCGGGGUUACAUCAUAGCUCGGGGGGUCGUUUGACAACAAAUUGUCUAACAACCUCCACCUUGGUGUCAAAGGACCUGCAAAAGAAAAAUGUCUCCCAUUAGUGACACCUCUAAUAGAAAAUCGAUAAAAAUUGGAAAUCAUUUACCUGUACCAAUGUUUAGAAGUUCCUUGUAACUUCUAAAUUUUGCCAGUGGCAGUACCUUCGUCCCCAUAUCAAAGGGGUUGUAGUGGGUGUGGACCUUUUCAAGUCUUAUCACCUCUUGAGAUACUAUAUUUGUAAUGAAGUGGAGUCUAACAUCAGUGUGUUUAGUGCGCUCGUGAAAAAUGGGGUUCUCGCAUAAAUGUAUAGAUGACUGACUAUCAGAAUACACUACCAUAUAAUCAUUCAAGAUACAUAGUUUAUGAAGUAGGCCUCUAAGCCAUAGAGCUUCUUUAAUAGCUUCAGUGGUAGCAAUAUAUUCUGAUUCUGUAGUAGAUAGUGCAAAAAUAUGUUGUAACUGUGAUUUCCAACUUACACAUGAAUUAGAUACUUCCCAAUGUUCAGGGCCCGGAUUAACCAUAUAUCUACUGAGAGUACUAACAGCAAAACAUAAAUCCAGUCUAGUGCAAACCAUCAAAUACAUUAUGGAAUCAAUCACAUUAGAGUAAGGCACUCUACUCAUGUAUUCUACUUCACGCUCAUUGUAAGGGGAUUGUUCCUUCGAUAAAACAAAAUGAUUAGCAAGAGGCAACGUGACAGAUUUGCAAUCACUCAUAUUAAAUUUCUUCAAUACUUUGGAUAUGUAUGGAGACUGAUGCAAAAACAAAACAGAAUUUGACAUGUCUCUUUCGAUUUCAAUACCUAACAUUCUCUUAGCCUUACCUAGAUCUUUCGAUUUCAAUACCUAAGAUUCUCUUAACCUUACCUAGGUCUUUCAUGUCAAAUUCACCACUUAGUUUUGCUUUUAUGUUAUUUAUUUACUUAGAGGAUGAUUCAAUCAAAAGCAUGUCAUCUACAUAGAGCAACAAAAACAUAUAAUUAUCAUCAGUCUCAUUGUGUUGAAAAUACAGACAGUGAUCAAAUUUACUUCUUUGGAACCAUAUAGUGAGUACAAAGGAAUCAAAGCUCUUGUAGCACUGUUUAGGAGAUUGUUUUAACCCAUACAAGGAUCUUCUCAGAAAACACACAUAAUCAGUUUUUGACUUAUCCUUAAAACCUUUUAGUUGAUUCAUGAAAAUUUGUUUAUCAAGCUUACCAUGUAAAAAAAUAGUUUUUACGUCAAGUUGUUCAAGUUCCCAGUCAAAGUGUGCAACCAAUGCGAGCAUGACCCUAAUAGUGGUGUACUUAACAACUGGUGAGAAAAUUUCAUUAUAAUCAACGCCCUCCUUCUGUGUAUAGCCUUUAGCUACUAACCUACCUUUAAACCUUAGGGGUUUCGAGCUGCUAAUACUUUCCUUAACCUUAAAGACCCAUUUGCAAUCAACAAUUGAUUUGUUCUUAGGCCUAGGUACUAGCUCCCAAGUAUGAUUCUUUUCUAGAGAACUCAUCUCUUCUUUCAUUGCCUUAAGUCAUUCAUUAGAUUGAUCACUGCCUAUUGCCUCUUCAAAGGUCUUUGGUUCUUUAUCAGCUAGUUCUUCGUAACUAGCCUGGGCGAAAGCUAAUUCAGAUUCAAAAUCGAACCUUAUAGGUUCUCUCGUUUGUCUUCUCUCUCUAUCCCUAAUUAAGUUAUAGUUAGCUAAAGGAUUUUCUUCCUCAUUAUGCUCUUUUGUCAUUAUUUCGUUACUAUUCUCCACCUCGGGUUCUUGAGCUUGAGUCUCCACCUCACUUGAAGCAGUAAGGGCAGGUGGACUGAGUUUUCCUAACUCCACCUUAAAUUGGUCUCUCUCUUUACCUGGUUCAGCUUCACUCUCAGGUUCAGUUUCUCCUUUAAUACACGACAUCUCAUUUUCAUUAAACGUGACAUCUCUACUUAUGAUGAUCUUCACCCCUUUUUGGCUUCUAUCCCAUAACCUAUAACCCUUAACACCCUCGGGGUAUCCUAGAAAGACACACUUCCUAACUCUAGGUUCCAACUUACCCUUACUUUGAUGAGAAAAAGUUGUACAGCCAAAAGUUCUAAGCAUCGAGUAAUCACUCAGUUUAUCUGACCAUCUCUCAUGCAAAGUGUCACCAUUCAAUGCAGCAGAAGGAGUCAAAUUAAUCAAAUAACAAGUGGUCAUAAUAACCUCACCCCAAAAUGAUUUGGGAAUACCAGAACUAAUCAUCAUGCAGCGUACUUUAUCAAGUAUGGUCCUAUUCAUCCUUUCUGCUGCCCCAUUUUGCUGAGGAGUGUAAGAAAUGGUCUUAUAUCUAGUUAUGCCGCUUUCUUUACACAUACUAUCAAAUUCCUUAUUGCAGAAUUCUAGGCCGUUCUCUGUCCUUAAAAUUUGAUUUUUUUUGCCAAUUUGGUUUUCCACUUGUCUCUUCCAAUUGUUAAAACUAUUAAAUGUCUUAGAUUUAUCCUUCAAAAGAUAGACCUAUAUUUUCCUAGUGUAGUCAUUGAUAAUAGACAGGAAAUACCUAUUCCCACCCGAUGUGGGAUUACUAGCAGGACCCCAUAGAUCAGAGUGCACAUAUUCGAGCAUGCCUUUAGCUCUAUUAACACUCGUGGAGAAAGAAGUUUUAUGAUAUUUACCAAGCACACAAUGAUCACAAAAUGACAAAUCUGACACACAGUCAUUACCAAAAGCACAUUUUUCGUUAAGUAGCUUAAGUCCCUUGACCCCUACGUGAGCAAGUCUAUUAUGCCAUGUGUGUGUGUGAUCAAUCUUGGCAAAGGAGAUAUAGGGGUUCACACCUCUAAUCACUUCCCCAGUAGUAAUAUAUAUAUAUAUAUAUAUAUAUAUAUAUANNNNNNNNNNNNNNNNNNNNNNNNNNNNNNNNNNNNNNNNNNNNNNNNNNNNNNNNNNNNNNNNNNNNNNNNNNNNNNNNNNNNNNNNNNNNNNNNNNNNNNNNNNNNNNNNNNNNNNNNNNNNNNNNNNNNNNNNNNNNNNNNNNNNNNNNNNNNNNNNNNNNNNNNNNNNNNNNNNNNNNNNNNNNNNNNNNNNNNNNNNNNNNNNUAUAUAUAUCGUUUUUCUUAAUUCCCUUAAUGGAAACUAAAGCACCCUUGAUCAUUUUUAGCAUAUCAUUUCCAAUUUUACUAGUAAAAUCAUCCUUUUCAAGUCUUCCCAUUGAAAUCAGAUUCCUAGACAACUCAGGAAUUUAUCUAACGUCCUUUAACGUAUACACAAAAUCUGUGUCAAAUUUUGCGUUUAAGUCACCAAUUCCAACAAUAGUAUAGGCAAAGUUAUCACACAGCACAACAUGCCCAACAUUAGAUUCAUGUAACUUAUAAAAUCAAUUCUUUUCAAAAGUCACAUGAAAAGAUGUACCAGAGUCAAGUAUCCACUCAUGCAUGCGGAAAUUAGCAGUUAGAUUUAAUUCAGCAGUGUAUGCAACGGGACUUGUAAUCAUAUAGACCUUACCACCAUUUAUAUCGGAGGUAGAUGCUAACACAUUGACCUUAUCUCUCUCUUUAACCUUUAGCUUACCCUUCUCCUUAUGACAAUCUUUUAUAAAAUGCCCCGUGUUUCCACAACCAUAGCAUUUUCUCGCCUUAGUCCUAGAUUUUGAUCUAGACCUACCUUUGCUCUUCUUUUUCCAUCCAUUACCACUUGACUCGCCACUAGUUUGAUAUCCAUCAUGACUAUUUUGCCUAAAUUGAGUUCUACCUCGCAUCAUAUGUACCUCACCAUUCCUCUUAUCAUGUUUUUUAGCCCUAAUUUCCAUUUCUUUACUUCUAAGGGAAUCUAUGACAAUUUCAGGUGCCAACGUGUCUCUACCAUACUUAAUGGUGUUCUUAACUUCCUUAUAGGAAUCAAGAAUUGCAUUGAGCAAAAUUAUAGCCUUAUAAGUUUCGGACACUGUCUCAUCACAAUUAACUAUAUCUUGCACUAAUUUAUUAAACACAUCUGAAUUGUCAUCAAGAUCUUUUGAGGGAUCCAUUUUGAAACUGAAAAAACGUUCGAGCAAGUAAAGUUUAUUCGGUGUAGACUUAAGCAAAUACAAGUCUUCUAAUUUUUUCCAAGGUUCUUUAGUGGUUUUCAGUUUACCCACCUUUCUUAAAACAGCGUCAGACAAGUGUAAAAUAAUUGAGGUAUAAGCAAGAUCAUCGGCUUCUUCUCUUUAUUUUUGUGAAAAAUCAGUUGAAAAAUUACCUUCAAUGGCCUUUGAAACCUUUUCUUGGGCUAAAAUGCCCUUCAUUUUUUGUUGCCAAAUAGCAAAGUCACCCUUUCCAUUAAAAAUUUUCAAAUCAAAAUUGUGAGCUGUCAUUUUUACACAACAGUCAAAAAAUGCACAAACCAUAAUCAAACCACACAAAGUAGUCCUAGGGUCACAGAUAGUAUCCACCGUUCUAGAUUCUCAGGGUUUCGUAAGACUUGCGGUCUUAGAUCAAGGGAAUAUUCGAACGAGUAAGGUCACGGUAUUUCUAAUGGAAUAAGUAAGCAGAGGAAGUAACAAUGUAGCAAGAAAUACGUCUAGCAGAUAACUAGUCUCACAGUAAUUAGAUCACUAAAAAUUACAAAACUAAUUUUAACCCAAAAACAAAUACUCAAUCAAAACAAUCAAGAGCACAUAACGCUAAUUCUAGCACAAGCAAUCAUUGCUAAGCGAUGACAACCCCCAACCUAUUGUCACCCCCACACGGUGACGCGCUAAUACUGAAAAUUAACGGGUUAAGGCAAUUUACUAGAACGGACGUGUCUGAGUCCGUAUAAUCGAGAGAGAUGCAAAUUUGCUACUUUGGGGCCACCACUAUUCGCCCUAAAGAUUCAGCAAAUAUAGCAAUUCUGAUCAGCAACAAAUGCAGAUUGAAGGUCGGGGCGAAAUCCUCUAAUCUUUUCUGCACAACCUGAAAUACUAAACCAAACAUAUUAGAAUGUUUAGGAAAUCAAAAUUAGUAAAAUGGCACGAAAAAACUGUGCAGGCAGUCCUCCAUGCGUCGCCAUCCACUACCAGUCGCCGUCCCAUGCGCUUCACCAUCAGAGGCGCCUCCACCUGCUGGUUAUGGGUCCGACCUCCGUUCGUCCAACAGAGGUCGCGUUUGGUUGGAAUAGAUUCGGCCCCUUUGAGAAAUCACGAGACCCGCCGCCGUUUUGGUGGAUUUUUGGCUAGAGGAGAUGAUCGGCGGCUAUGAUACCAGAUGUAGUGCCAAAUUUCGGCCAACACCAAGGUAAACCGGGCUCAGUUUCACCAAGAAAUCGCGACACCAACGGGUUGAGACAACUUCAAACCACCACCAACACCGCCCCACUUUCGGUUGCUAUUAGUUGGGUAAGAUGAAGAACAAUAAUAUGCCCACUUGAAAUAAAUCACAAAGGUCACAGAGAAGAGAAGGAAUCAAGGGGAGAGUGUCACAGAGAGAGGUUGGGCAUUCUUCAUAUGGAGGCCGAGAGGAAGGCCAAGAAUAUAAGCUAAGCAAAUAACCAAACAAGGUAAGUUAUGUUAGGGUUAUUUAGUGGACCAAACAAGACUCGACUCAAAGAUAAUGUGCUUCAAAUUAAUAACAUUGCCCUUAAGGAAAUGGGACGAACCGGGAACAACACUAUUAACAAUAGAUUGCUUCGAACGGUCCAUAGGAAUGUGGAUUGGGUUGUCUCGAUAAUUGUGUCGAUAUACUAAUCAAUCAUAUGGCCAAGGCCGAUUGAUAAUAGAAUCGGGAUUACAUCAUAGCUCGGGGGGUCGUUUGACAACAAAUUGCCUAACACAUGUCACAUGAGAAGGUCACCUUUCAACUGAUAGGGAAAAUAAAAUUUUGAUUUUUUAAAAUAAAAAUAUCAUUAUACUUUGCCAAAAAGAAAAUAAGAUCACCUUCCCAUUAAUGAUUAUUUUCACACCCUUUUGACUUCUAUCCCACAUUCUAUAAGCUUUUACGUACUCCCUUAGGAUAAUCUAGAAAGACACAUUUUCUAACUCUAUGUUUGAGCUUUUCCUUACUUUGAUAAGCAUAACCAAAAAUAGUAAGCAUGUGUUGAUGAUAGAAAUCUACAAAUCCUCUUAAAAAGUUAUGAUUUUUGCCUCCUAAACUUAUUAUUUUGAUGUUCAAACUAAAAUAAGAGGUAAACAGUUAUUUUAGAGGAAGAUAUUUGAAUUGCAUGCUCUUUUCUUCAAAAGUAGAGGUAUUUAUAGAUUUUCGUUAAGCCUUAGAGCAGUUUGUUCGUUGGGGAGAAUUACAGAUGGUGGCUCUUUAUUGACUAGCUCAUAACGAAUUCUAUUAUUUAUAUUAAAUCUAGUACUAGUUGUAUUUUUAUCGAUUUUAUGAAUUCAUUGUACUUCUUAUUGUAAGUGUAGCUGAUGUGGCUUGUAUUGACAAGAUAUGUUAUGAUCGUUGUAGUUUUUGCGUGCGCUAUAGUACUUAUUUGUGCAUUUUUAGGUUAAUGCCCUAUAGGCAUUUAAUGUGCGUGUUCGUCACGCAUAAAUCUCAUCCAUAUAGUUUCGAAUAUAGAUCAAACUCAUGUUGAUAUCCAAUGAUUGUAAUUAUAAGAAAAACUCGAAUGGUUGAGAUCUACCACUGAUCAAAUCGAUGGUUCAUGCCUCCAUCCGAACCUAUAAAUAUUCCCCUUUUACUUUUUAUCGCUUUCAUCAACUUUUUGUAUUUUUCUUGUAGCAGCCUCUCAUUGCUCUUUCCUUUCUUCUCCAAUAUGCUAUUAUCAGCUUUUGACAUUUCAUGAUGUUACUCUUUUCGUAGAAAGGGCCAACAGUGUGCUUUUCUCUAAUUUUACCAGAUUUAUCUAGUCAAUUUCUUUCUGGAUUCUCAAUUAUUGCGCACAGCGAUGCAUUUUCCACCAUUAACACCUUUAGGCUUUCAGCUAUCUCCUAGAUCUUUUUGCAAUCGAUAUGUUUUUCCUUAAGCGAUGAUGCUGAACAGAAAAAAUGCAAACUUACGAUUUUGCCUGUGUCUCCUCCCACUGUCGUUUUGGAUUAUCAUCGCUAUCUGUUGGGCUGUUAUGCCUAAUGACCUUUCUGGGCUGUAAUGACACAAUGGGCUAAAGCCCAAAAUCUGUUUUAUUAAUACCAAGGCUCUUUCCCAAUAACAUGACUUGAUUUACUCAGCCCAAAAGGUAGAAAAUGUGUUUUUUCAGGCGUGGCAUUUUAAUGCAGUUCAAAAACACGACCUCUUCAUUAUUCUUGGGAGCCCUCGAUCGUUGGAUGAAAUCUUGAUCAAUGGUUAUUUUUGUGUGGGUAUAUAUAUGUCUCUAGCUUGCGCUAAUAAGUUGGAACGUCAUUCUUCUUUCCUUAAGCAACACGUGAGACUUCUUCCAGACUCUUCCAAAACCUUCUUCUUCGUAACCUUCCAAUCUCUGAUUGGAACAUAUUUCUGAGUGAUAUUUCUGUGUGAAAUUGAAAUACUAAGUGUAUUGAAGGGGUUGGUGUGUGAUUUUACCGUUGUGGCUUCCUUUAAUUUGAUAGAGAAAAGGCCUUAGGGUUGGGUGGAUUAUUUGGGUCAUAUAGACGGGUACAAACCUGAUUUUCUCUGGAGUCUGAGCCCAAAUUAUGAAAGAUCUUCAUCUUUGAUGCUUGUGGUCUGAGUUUCGUUGAUCGGUUGGAUGCAGAUUUAUUUUCAUCAUUUUGUGUACUAACAUUUAUUCUUGAUUGUUUUGUAUUUUUAGGUUCAUAACUUUGUGUAACAGUGGUUUUAGAGCCUUCGACUGACUCUUGUGGGUAAACCGAACCGUGCUUCAGCAGUAUCGUGAAGAUCUUGGAAAUUUCUUCGAGUCACAACCCUAGAUUUGGCAUUUUCUUUGUGAUGAAUCUGUUUUUUCUUGGUGAAAUAUGUCUACGAUGACUGGAUUCAUUCGUUCUUGGGCAUUGUGCACUCGCAUCUUGGUGAAAUUCGUGUGUCGUCAUGUGAAACGACCACCACUGUGGUUUAACUCUUGGAACCCUAUAUACUGCCUGAAAUCUUAUUAUCUAUCUUACUUGAUUGAUAGUCCUUUCCUAAAUGAUUUAGUGUUAAACUAUUUCCUGGCUCUGUGUGACAUGAAAAUAACCAGCAUGUUCUGUUGAAGUAUUGAAACAUAUGUGUCAAUUGUUCUCUGUUCUUAUUCUGUUGGAUUAUUGCAGUACACUUGUGAUUGUAUUUUCUUCAUUCUUGUAUUAAUACCUUCCUCAUUUUUGUAUCAACAAAAACCUAUACCCAUCACCCAAGUCUUGACCUGAGAUCUUGAGUCUCACGGAAUCCUGGUAGGGCUAGGUAGUUGAUCUUUAAAACUUUUUGUUGUCUAUGGUAUAUUAAGUUGUACUUUCUGCCUUGCCUGUAAUAUCAAGAAUCUUUGUUUCUUAUUUGUCUGUUGUGAAUUAAUACGUGUGAAUUGUUUGAUUAACAAGAUGACCACAUCUAGUUUUGAACUUGGGGUCUUUAAUGGGAAGGGAGAUUUUCCUAUAUGGCAACAAAAAAUGAGAGGUGUUUUAGUGCAACAGAAAGUUUCUAAGGCUAUAACUGAAGAGUUUCCUGAAACAAUGACACAAGAACUGAGAACUGAAUCUAAUGAUUUAGCCUAUACCUCAAUUAUUCUUCAUCUGUCUGACCAAGUGUUUUGAAAAGUAGGGAAAUUAGAAAAUGCUAAGGCCCUAUAGGAGAAAUUAGAGGAGUUGUACUUAGUGAAGUCUUUACCUAAUAAACUCUUCCUUCUAGAGAGAUUCUUUAGUUUUAAGAUUGAUCUAGCCAAAGACUUGGAUAAUAAUCUUGAUAGCUUUAAUAAUUGGUACAAGAUAUCGCCAAUGCUGGGGAUAAAAUUUUUGAAAAAUACAAAGCAAUGAUACUUCUUAAUGCUAUACCAAAGGCAUACAGGGAUGUUAAAUCUGCCAUUAAGUAUGGCAAAGACACUUUGACUCCUGAAAUUGUAAUAAAUUCUAUAAGAAAUAAAGAAUCAAAACUUAAAACUGAAAGACAGGGGAAGGACUCUGAGAGUCUAUUCGUGAGAGGAAGACAACCAAAUAGGCAAAAUAAUAAUCAUCAAAAUCAUUUAGGAAACAGUAACAGAAAGAAAUUAAGAAGUAAAUCAAGAUCAAAAUCAAAAUCAAGAAAUAACAGGAAGUGCUAUGGUUGUGGUAAACUUGGUCAUUAUAUAAAAGAUUGCCAUAACAAGAAAAUUGAACUUAAAGAAAAGAAAGUUGAUGAGGAAAUUGUGGUUGAACCUGCUAAACCUAACACAGUUGAUGUAUAUGUGGUGGCUCAACAAUCUGAUCUGGAAGUGGCAAAUUAUGCUCACAAUACAUAUGUUCAUAAGUGGAUAUUGGACUCAGGUUGUACCUUUCAUAUUAUAUAUGAAAGGUCCUGGCUUCAAGAUUUUAAGAAGUUAGGAGGUAGAGAAGUGGUGAUGGGAAAUAAUAUUGCCUGUAAAGUUGAAGGUUUAGGUAAUGUCACCCUAAAAUUUGAAAAUGGAUACAUUUAUACCCUAGAGAAAGUGAGGUAUGUCCUUGAACUGAAAAGGAAUCUGAUCUUUAUUGGGGAAUUAGAUGACCUAGGGAUGUGUGGUAAGAUUGGAUAUGGGUUGAUGAAGGUGAUCAAGGGAUCUCUUGUCAUCUUUAAGGGUGUAAAGAAAAAUGGAAUAAAUGUAGUUAAAGCUGAAACAAUACUUGGAAAUAUAAUGCUACUGUCUCUAAUGUUGAAUUUGACCCAUGUGUUUUCAAGUUUUUGUUUGCAGGUUUCCAGCAUGCUAUUUUUUGAAAAGUUUAUGCAAGUUGCUUUAAAUCAUUGUAGUCUUUUCUUCUAGACCGACCCUGUUCUAUCAGCAAUUUGUAUUAUUUUUUAUUUCUGUUGAAAAUAUUCUGUUAAAUUUUUUGACUGUUUCAAUUUUAUUGGCUUGCAAUUCUAGGGAAUUGGUAACUGUUAUGCUAUUUGUUUUUUGAUGUUCAACGUUCGCGGUCUGCCUUAGUUGAACUCGAAUUCUGGAUUCGCCCCGAUUAAACUAUAUUCUUAUGCAUGUUUAUUAAGGUUACAGUUUUUUGUUGAAGAUCACGUGCCAAAACUCAAUCUUUCUAUAUUAAGAUCUUUUUCUUCUUCAAUUCCCUCCUUAUUUUUGAACUUAGGUUUCGUGUAUAGGCAAUUCCAAGUGCCUAUAAAAAUAGAUAGUUUAGAAUUUAUCCAAAGCUAAAUACAUAAAAUAAGCUAGAAACAAUUAGAUAUAUAGCAAUAUCAUAACUAAAUAUUGGAUUAUGAAACUUGCUUGAUUUUUACUCAUGAGAAGGUUAAGUUUGGAUGAGCUUCGGCCUGCCAAACUGAAGAUGGACAAAAAAUGGGUUAAUUUCACAAGCAAUCACUGAACUUACUUGAAAAAUACAAAAUGAUCACUAAAGUUUAAGGCUUAUAGAAACGGUCACUGAAAUUUAGAGCACGCUGAAGUUUAAAAACUUGCAGAAAUGGUCACCUAGAUUUUUCAGAUUUUUGGGCGAGUUUUGCGACAAUUUUUCGGCAACUUUUGACCACCAAGACUGUCGAAUUUGGAUACGGUUGGAAAACCAAAAAUGUCCUCUUCAAUUACCAUCCAAAAUCUCCCCAUAACUCCAAAGGAUUCGAUCGGAAUAAGCCCACAAAUUCAGCUCCCUGAAAUUUGAAAAUCUGCCCAGAUUUUCAAAAUUUUGGGCGAUUUUUGCGACAAUUUUCUGGCAAAAUUUGACCACCAAGACCGUCGAAUUUGGAUACCGUUGGAAAGCCCACAAUGCCAUCUUUAAUUACCCAAAAUCUCCCCAUAACUCCAAAGGAUUCGGCCGAAAUAAGCCCACAAGAUCAACUCCCCAAAAUCUCAUCCAAAAAUCUGCCCAGAUUUUUGGGCAAGUUUUGCGGCAAAUUUCUGGCGACUUCGUCCAUGAAGAUUGUCGAAUUUGGAUACAGUUGGAAAGCCCACAAUGUCCUCUUCAAUUACCACCAAAAAUCUCCCCUCACGAGAUACUAGAUCUGCCAGAGUUAAACACUAGUGUAUGUUGCAAUCAACACAAGAAAAAUGUGAAGUUGCAUAUACUUAGCCUCUGUUUAGUGGGAUUAAAAUUAAAAUUUUAGUAGAUUUUGAUAAAAAUGGAUGAAAUGUUAAUUGAAAAGUUGUGAAUCCAAUAAAUAUGUUGUUAAAAUUAAUUAUUAAAUUUGACUUGAAUUAAAAUCUAGAUAUUAAUUCCUAUCAAACAUGGACUUAAAUUUAAGAAAAAGUUAUUUAACACGUGAGAUGGAGGAGAAAAGAUUAAGGACAGACGAGCACUCAGUAGAACGAGAGUAUUGUUUCAAACUCGAAUAAAAUGCAUCAAUCCAUAUAUGUAAAUGGUCAAUACACAUUCAUACUGUUUCGUUCUUCAUUUUUACAAAAAGCAUUUGAGCAUCCCAUGGAGAUAUACUCGAAUGAAACUUUUAUCUAACACAACUUUUCCAAUUAUAACUUCAAUUCUUGAAGUUCUUCUUUGCAAUUCUAUACAAGAUCUUGGACAAUGAAAUUGUUCUGCGAAUCAUGUCAAAUGUAAAUUUCACUUGCCUAUCUAGCGGUAUGCUAGGUAGAUCUCAAGGAAAUACAUCUAUAAAGUCUCACACAAUAUUUACGCUAUUAGCAGUUAGUUCUACAAUUCAGAGACAUUGUGAAUUGGCAAAUAUUAUAAAUAUUUAAGAAGCUAACUAGUAGUCAUAUAAUCAAUUUCAGAGAUAUAGUGGAUUUGCAAACAUUAUCCGUAAACGAAGGCUUCCACUAGCUACUGCAAAUUUGCUUUCUAAAUCAGCUUCCCCAAUCGCAUGAGCAGCAACUUUCGACUGGAAAACCCAAAAAAUAAGAUAGUAAACUGAAGAUGGGUAUAUGAUUCCUCUCUUGAAACAAACUUUUAAGUGCCAUUUUGGUAAUUGGUGUACAGUAUUAGGUUAUACUAAUAGUAUAAUAUACGACAUUUUUUUCCUUUUUAUUAUUGUCCACAACUGUCACCUUUCCACACAUACUACAACAAAAUGGACAUUUGCACGCUGUAAAAGCUCACUAUUUACAGAGUGCACAUGCACGCCGUAAAAAGUGUAAACUCACUUUUACGGUGUAAAUUUUAAUUUUGUUUUUUAAAAAUAUUUGUUUAUUUGGUUACCAACAAACCCAUAAUAAUUACAAAAUAAAAAGAUAUACAUUAGUCAUAUAUAAAUAGAUUUUAUAUAUGUCCAAUAAACAAAAAUAAUGAAUACGGUUCAAUACAAUAUGCCAAAGUGUAGAGUUCGUCUAAAUAAUUCUAACAUCGUUAACCUACUCAAAAAGUUAAAAGAUAUAUUGUUCACACAAAAAAGUGCAAGAGCGUUCAAAAAUACCGAGAUGACAAGCAAAUGCAUACCAUCAAGUAACAUGACAAACUUUGAAAUGCAAACAUUAACUUACCGAGAUUUGCAGCUCUUGUAAAUUUGGCAAGUUCACGAUCAGCUGAAGGACAACUAGAACCUCUUUCAUGUCAUCAAAGCUAACUUGAUACAAUUCUAUGAACUUUAAUUGGUGAUAUGUAAUUGGAAUGCAUCCUUCGUGACUACUGAUACUCAAAUACGAGAGGUUAAUGAGUUCAAGACAAAAAAUAUUUUCACAUUUUAAAACAGCUAUGUAUAAGCAACAAAAUCGCAAGUGGUUUCUACACAAAGGCAAAAGAUAGCCAUAUCUAGUUAUUAAUCUUAAAAGUAAGUGGAGAUGGAUACCUUUGUGAAGUAUAUAUGUCCAAUAAGCUUCUCAAGCUGGUAACACCACCAAGAAACUUGUGGAAGUUGUAGCUUGAGCUUUGUUCGAAAUGCUCUGCUAUGUCAUUAGUCAUUGGUUAACAAUUUUCCAAUGAAUCAAAGCAAUUUUCUCAAAAUCUAAUAAAACCCGUUAAAAUAAUAGCAUUAUUAAAAGAUUAAGAAAAAAAAAGAGGGAUCUUGAGAAGACGAUUGAAAUUGAUAAGAGAUCAGAAUAGAAAGCAUUAUAAUUUUCAAUAUAAAAACUAAAGAAAAAUUGUAAAUUACAGAAAAAACUAGGAAUCACCAAGGAGACUCAGCUCUCAGGGUCCCACUAUCUCAGGUCCACAGUGUGCUACCGAUUGCUUCAAGGCUCUAUUUCGAAGUCCGAAGGUGCUGCUGCUGCGUGAAUCGUGACUUGCGUCUAGGGCUGCCGCGAUUGAGAAGUUCAAAGUCGGAGAUGGCAGAUCAACUGCGAAGACUCAGAGACGGUUGAUGACUAAUUGAAGGUGGAAUUUUGGGAGAAAAUGCCACGAAUGACCAGCCAUAUUUCAUAAAAUUGAAUGAGAUGGAAAAUAAUUGGGACGAGACAAAAAGAUAAGGGAAAGAAAAGCGGGAAAAAAGGCAUUUACGGCGUACAUAUGCACGCCAUAAAAAGUGUAAUUUUUUAACAAACACGGCGUACAUAUGCACGCCGUAAUAAGUCCAAUUUUUUUAACCAAACACGGCAUGCCCCUAAAAAACGUCGUAAAUAAUUACAUUUUACAGCGUGCAUUUGUCAAGUUAUUAAUUUUUUACGGCAUACAAAAAAUGCAUGCCAUAAAUAGUCUUCUUUCACAACAUGCCAUAAAUGUGCGCCGUAAAUGUAUGUUGUAAAAACCCAUUUUUGUUGUAGUAUUUUCCAUUUGGUUUGCAUGAAUAUUAUAACAAAAGGGAGACAACAUUUCAGAGUUGUCCAGUCAUAAUAUUCAUAAUAUUAUGUCGGGUAAUGCCUAAGAAGAAGUUUUCACAUUUUCAACCAAGAUCCAAAAAUCUGAAAAUAAAUAAGGAAAAAUUUCAAGAAAAACCUUCUCAUACUGAAACUGGUGAAAUGAAUUUUUGAUAACAUGCUCUGCAGCAAAUUGUCCCUCAGAAUGGCUCAAUAAGUUUAGGAUUGAGUAGUAGCUUAGCCUGAAAGUACUGACCAACGGCGAUGGAUUACCCAGGACCAUGUCCUUGAGGAUAUUCAUUUCCAUCUGGUUUAAAAAGGAACGUUUAGGUGCUAAUGAAAAGUUUAGUUAAAUCAUGUCUUGUAAGAUACUUGGAAUAGUAAAAUUUCAUGUCCUGGUUGCAAUAGCUCAAGUGUUGCCUGCUACUUAGACUCGCUUAUUCCAGAGAAUUACUUCAGUAGUAGCACUUAUUCAUAAAGCAGUGAGUUUUGGCAUUUGUUAUUCUUAUCUAUCUUGCCUUUUUCAGUCCACAUUUAAUAAUGGAGGUUUAAGUAACAGCAGUUAUUUUGCAAUGUAGUCUUAAUACAACUGAAUUUGCAGAUGUCCAGUUAGGCAUUACAUUUUAUUCCAUAACGUCAUCAACAACAAGACAAUUUCCAAAUGAAUCCGACUACAACCGCAUGGUUACAAGAUAUGGAAAGUAACUCACUAUCAGAUUCAUCUUCCAAGGAAAAUUUACUCUAAAAUUUUAUUUUUUUUCCCAAUAGUUAAACUGAGAUAAAUGGUGCCAGCAAUAAAAUGACCUUUUCAUCAACCAUUAUAAUACAAAUACCCUGCUCAUCUUUACCACGACGUCCAGCUCUACCACUCAUCUAUUGGGAAGAACAAUCAUGUCAAAAAAUCAUGAACAGAAAGUAGGUGUAAUGUGUAUCUCUAUUUUUAGUAAUAAUGUUGUAACAACUACUCACCUGGAUAUACUCGCCGAAUCCUAUACAUCGUUGACUAUCACCAUCCCAUUUUUUCACACACGUGAAAACCAUAGUUUUUGCAGGCAUGCUCAACCCCAUGGCAAACUGUUACGAAUUAAUAUCAAUAGUUAAUAGAUGCAAUAAUUUUUUUAUUUUAUUUUUUAUUUUUUAUUAUUAUUAUUAUUUUUUGGCUGAAAGUGCAAUGAUACACAUUAGAUAUUCUUAUUAUGUAUGUACUAAUACCAGUUUGUAUGAGAAUGUCGUAAGACCUUUAGUAAGUGUUAAAUUAUUCUUAUGGAUGAGCUAAAAUAGGAGUAUGUUCAAAAUUUAAUAUCUGAAGAGCAUUUAUUGUAAACAACAGUCCCAUUUCUGUGGCAAAUAGAGCCUUAACCAGCCCUUCUUGAAAGAAGUUCCACAAGUUCUUUGACAAUAGGAAGCAAGCCAGAAUGGUGAACAGCUAUGCCUCUCUAAAGCAAUGGCAACAUUUUUUCAAUAGCAUGUAAGCAUCCAUCCUCCCCAUUUAAGGAAAGGAUUGCAUUUUUGAACGCUUGAUUCACAACGUCCUUUUUGUUGGUAAUUUUACGCCAAUUCCCUUUAUUUCUAUUUACCCGCAAGAUCUUUUGUUGUUUAAGAAAAUAUUAGCAAACAGAAAAAAAUAAAAAAUAUAACGCAUAAAUCAAACGGAAUGUCGAAGUUUUUCACUAUAUGAAAAAUUGUUACAAUCAUAUAGAAUUUUACUUACCAACCCAAUCCCCAAGCAUUACAAAGAAAAAAAUAAACUUGAAAUUUACCACACCUACUUUUCUACCCAAUAUACGAAAACUCUCAAGAUGCUAGGCUCACAAUAUUUUCCUCUCAGAUAAACUCUCUAGCCACACUCAAAAUAAUGAAAUAGAUCCACUAUUUAUAGGAUCAAUAAUCAAGUAGAAGAGAUUAAUUUUAGCUCAAACAAGACUCUUUUAACUCAAUAAGGAUUCCUUCAUGUGUAAGACUCCAAAACCGGCUGUAUAUUGGAAACCAAAUUCUGCAAGGAUUUUACUCUCAACUUUAAUUAGAAGUCUUCUAUACAAUAACUACAUUUUUAUUAUCUGCAAUAGAAGUCCUCUACCUUUUGGCUUUUGAACCAAUUACCCAAACCAAGGAUUGAUCUGGGAUAAAGAAAAAGGGUUCAGGCUAUGAAGAAGGGCUAAAGAUUUUAAAUUAAGUUUGCCUUUUCGAGGGUUGAAGUUUAUAUUUCGUGCUAAGAAAGGUCCCCCGGGUAUUUCUAAGGAUGGACGUCAUACCAACCAUUCCCAUAUAGGCUUAUCGGGGUAGAUGCUUCUCACAUUCAUCACGCGUCCAUCUAGGUCGUUGAUUGUGUACAAACAAAAUACGAGUCUAAUCUCCACCUUGCCAAAAGCGAGUCCAAACCUUUUACUAUAUAGCCAAAAUUGACUGUUUAUUGGAGACCAAAUUCUGCAAGGAUUCUACUUUCAACUUUAAUUAGAAGUCUUCUAUACAGUAACUACAUUUUAUUAUUUACAAUAGAAGUCCUUCAACUUUUGACUUUUGAGCCAAUUCCCAACAAUUUCCACCUUGUCGAAAAUGAGUCAAAAUCUUAAUCAUCUCUUCUACAACUUUUAAUCACAAUACUUGGAAAAACAAGUAAGCAUUUGAUACACUUUAACGGUCUCAUACUCCACCAUAUGAGUAUAACCACUCAGAAAUAUCAGCAAACUCCGAGCAUUUCAUCGGCUACAUGUCAAAACAACCCUACUUAUAGUUAUGUUCACUGACUUUUCCAGAGAGCUCAUCAGCCAUCGACAUCACAAUACCACCACAUACCUAUACACCUUGCAUAGACACCUUACAUCAAAUUUCAGUCAAUGCUAUGUACAGAUAUGCUGACCCGUGCCAGUAAUAACACAUUCUUUAUCAUGGCAACUUGCAACAUGCCAUGAGAAUGUUCUCAUCUUACUUUACAGCACGACAUCUGCAUCCUCCUCCUUUGUGAGAGAUACAUUGUUCAAAUCCAAGCAGUUAACCGACCCUAUUCCACCUUUUGGACAAUUUCUUUUCACAUGGCUAGUCUGACCAGAGUUCCAACAAGUUACCUUCUUCCUCAUAGAGUUACUCUUCUUCCCUU